AAAUCAGUUAUGGUUCACUAGAUCGUACAGUUUACAUGGAUAACUGUGGUAAUUCUAGAGCUAAUACAUGCAACCAGUCCGUACCCUUGUGGUGCGGACGCAGUUAUUUGCCCAAGACCAAUCCGGCCCUCGGGUCGUUCAAUUGGUGACUCUGAAUAACCGUAGCGGAGCGCUUGUUCUCGUAACGGCGCCAGAUCUUUCAAGUGUCUGACUUAUCAGCUUGUAGCUAGGUUAUGUACCUAGCUAGGCUUUCACGGGUAACGGGUGGUCAGGGCCAGACACCGGAGAGGGAGCCUGAGAAACGGCUACCACAUCCAAGGAAGGCAGCAGGCGCGCAAAUUACCCACUCCCGGCACGGGGAGGUAGUGACGAAAAAUAACGAUGCGAGAGCUUUUAGCUUCUCGUAAUCGGAAUGGGUACACUUUAAAUCCUUUAACGAGGAUCUAUUGGAGGGCAAGUCUGGUGCCAGCAGCCGCGGUAAUUCCAGCUCCAAUAGCGUAUAUUAAAGUUGCUGCGGUUAAAAAGCUCGUAGUUGGAUCUGGGUAGUCGAUGGACGGUGCUUCGUAAGAAGCUACUGCCCGUUCGGCACCACAGCCCGGCCAUGUCUUGCAUGCAUGCUCUUCACUGAGUGUGCUUGGCGACCGGAACGUUUACUUUGAAAAAAUUAGAGUGCUCAAAGCAGGCGUUAAGCCUUGUAUAAUGGUGCAUGGGAUAAUGGAAUAAGAUUUUUGGCUUGUUCUGUUGGUUUUUAGAGUCAGAAGU
Molecule: ribosomal RNA, 762 nt
Filed under: Cryobiotus klebelsbergi
Lineage: Eukaryota; Metazoa; Tardigrada; Eutardigrada; Parachela; Hypsibiidae
Description: SSU rRNA
Rfam family: Eukaryotic small subunit ribosomal RNA
Source: RNAcentral